RNAcentral lists this ribosomal RNA (1317 nucleotides) under uncultured bacterium. RNAcentral describes it as "bacterial SSU rRNA". It matches the Rfam family "Bacterial small subunit ribosomal RNA", at positions 28 to 1367 of the family's 1533-position model. The record is from RNAcentral.
GACGAACGCUGGCGGCGCGCCUAACACAUGCAAGUCGAACGAGCGAGAGAGAGCUUGCUUUCUCGAGCGAGUGGCGAACGGGUGAGUAACGCGUGAGGAACCUGCCUCAAAGAGGGGGACAACAGUUGGAAACGACUGCUAAUACCGCAUAAGCCCACGGCUCGGCAUCGAGCAGGUGGAAAAGGAGCAAUCCGCUUUGAGAUGGCCUCGCGUCCGAUUAGCUAGUUGGUGAGGUAACGGCCCACCAAGGCGACGAUCGGUAGCCGGACUGAGAGGUUGAACGGCCACAUUGGGACUGAGACACGGCCCAGACUCCUACGGGAGGCAGCAGUGGGGAAUAUUGCACAAUGGGGGAAACCCUGAUGCAGCGACGCCGCGUGGAGGAAGAAGGUCUUCGGAUUGUAAACUCCUGUUGUUGGGGAAGAUAAUGACGGUACCCAACAAGGAAGUGACGGCUAACUACGUGCCAGCAGCCGCGGUAAAACGUAGGUCACAAGCGUUGUCCGGAAUUACUGGGUGUAAAGGGAGCGCAGGCGGGAAGACAAGUUGGAAGUGAAAUCUAUGGGCUCAACCCAUAAACUGCUUUCAAAACUGUUUUUCUUGAGUAGUGGAGAGGUAGGCGGAAUUCCCGGUGUAGCGGUGGAAUGCGUAGAUAUCGGGAGGAACACCAGUGGCGAAGGCGGCCUACUGGGCACCAACUGACGCUGAGGCUCGAAAGUGUGGGUAGCAAACAGGAUGAGAUACCCUGGUAGUCCACCCCGUAAACGAUGCCUACUAGGUGUGGAGGAUUGACCCCUUCAGUGCCGCAGUUAACCCAAUAAGUAUUCCACCUGGGGAGUACGACCGCAAGGUUGAAACUCAAAGGAAUUGACGGGGGCCCGCACAAGCAGUGGAGUAUGUGGUUUAAUUCGACGCAACGCGAAGAACCUUACCAAGUCUUGACAUCCCUCGACAGACAUAGAAAUAUGUAAUCUCUUCGGAGCAAGGAGACAGGUGGUGCAUGGUUGUCGUCAGCUCGUGUCGUGAGAUGUUGGGUUAAGUCCCGCAACGAGCGCAACCCUUAUGGUCAGUUACUACGCAAGAGGACUCUGGCCAGACUGCCGUUGACAAAACGGAGGAAGGUGGGGAGGACGUCAAAUCAUCAUGCCCCCUAUGACUUGGGCUACACACGUACUACAAUGGCGUUAAACAAAGAGAAGCAAGACCGCGAGGUGGAGCAAAACUCAGAAACAACGUCCCAGUUCGGACUGCAGGCUGCAACUCGCCUGCACGAAGUCGGAAUUGCUAGUAAUCGUGGAUCAGCAUGCCACGGUGAAU